GUACCAGGCAAAGAUUUUCACCAGCAUUCCGCUUAGCCAAGGCGGAGAUAACAGCGCUGCGAAGCACUUGGAAUAAAUCCGCUCUUCCGAGAUUCCUCCGGGGUGCUCCUCUUCAGCUCUGUUUUCCCCGGGCUUCGUAAGCGGCCAGCCUUCAGCAAGAAGUCCGACGGGAGGAGUAAGAGCGCAGAGCACGGUGCCAAGUUCCUCUCCGUGCGGCUGUUGGUUGGUGACUCACGGGAGCUUCCCAGCUGCCACCACCCCUUCCUGCCGGCGCUCAGCGAGGGGUGACUCAGGUGUGCUGGGAACUGCACUCCCUGCCC
Long non-coding RNA from Gallus gallus (chicken), 320 nucleotides. The record is from Ensembl. NCBI's taxonomy places the organism in Eukaryota, Metazoa, Chordata, Aves, Galliformes, Phasianidae.